AUAAAUAAAUUACCAACAUAACUAUGGUUUCAGAGUACUAAGAAGAAAGGCCUUAAAUUAUUAAAUUGUUGUCUAUAAAAUGCUUAGACACGGUAGAAUAAUUAAAUUCAGUUUUUUUGUUUCUUUGAUAUUAUAAUGCCAUAUUCUUUGGUCGUUUUUUGUAUGAAAGCAGGUGUUUUUACCUUGAGUUUACAGAACAGGGAAAAUUUUGUACUUACACGAUAGUAGCCUUCUAAAAUUUUGUUUUGGUGUUCUAAAAUAGGUGUUACUAUGCUAUUCAAAAUUGAAAGAUAAUUUUAUACAAAAAAACUAUAUUACCAAGUAAACUUAAAACUAGUUAUGCCAUAUUCUUUGGUCGUUUUUUGUAUGAAAGCAGGUGUUUUUACCUUGAGUUUACAGAACAGGGAAAAUUUUGUACUUACACGAUAGUAGCCUCUUAAAAUUUUGUUUUGGUGUUCUAAAAUAGGUGUUACUAUGCUAUUCAAAAUUGAAAGAUAAUUUUAUACAAAAAAAC
This 514-nucleotide long non-coding RNA is filed under the name Glycine max (soybean). RNAcentral describes it as "long non-coding RNA (GMAX_LNC003560)". The record is from RNAcentral. Lineage: Eukaryota; Viridiplantae; Streptophyta; Magnoliopsida; Fabales; Fabaceae.